CUCUCUCUCUCUCGCUCCCAUUUCCUCCUCGCAUCUCCUUCAAUGGCGUGGCGCGGUUCCUUCUCGAGGUCACUGCUUGCGGCCGCGCGAUCCUCUUCGGGUGUCCCUCGCCUCCGUCCCAUCGCUGGCCCUCGUCUCCUCCGCCGCCGCCUUUUGGCCUCCCCUCCCAGGACGUUUGGGGAGCUCGGGUGCGUGCAGUCGCUGUUGCCGUUGCACAGUGCGGUGGCCGGGGCGAGGCUGACGUCCCACCUUUCUAUCAGCGCGAGAGCCUGCUGCGAGCUCUCUCAGGGGAGGAGUGGAAAGGAUGGUUGAUGCAAAGAAGAAUGCGCGAGGAUGAAGGGUGCUGUUUCCUAGGCCCUGAAGGAAUGGAAAAGAUGGGUGAUUCAAGAGAAGACAACAUUUUGGUGGGAAGGAGGUUCUGCAUCUUUAAGGUACUUGAGCACAUUCAGAUUAAUGAAGCUCUUGGAAGUCAUCUUAGGUUUUUGUGGGACCCUAUUAUCGGUUAAUCUAGCUGGACGAUAGGAUUAUCCCACUAGUCCUUCAGUUAUUUGAAAGAGUUAGGGUGUUCUUCUUGGAUAAAAAUAAAUCAGACCUUGUAUAGGAAAAAAGUAUAAUCAUUUCCUAAAUGGAUUUAGUUGGUAUUUUUGAGCUAAUUGGAUUGUGCAAUGCAAAUUCAUGUUCCUUUUGUGCUUCCUACUUUUUUA
Dioscorea cayenensis subsp. rotundata (Guinea yam) is the source of this 704-nucleotide RNA transcript. It is a transcript of the gene named protein NONRESPONDING TO OXYLIPINS 2, mitochondrial-like, with no coding region annotated. The transcript is spliced from 5 exons. The record is from RefSeq and is a predicted model, not a curated record. NCBI's taxonomy places the organism in Eukaryota, Viridiplantae, Streptophyta, Magnoliopsida, Dioscoreales, Dioscoreaceae.